RNAcentral lists this transfer RNA (71 nucleotides) under Marmota monax (woodchuck). Its description in RNAcentral is "tRNA.Ala". It matches the Rfam family "tRNA". From Rfam's summary of the family: Transfer RNA (tRNA) molecules are approximately 80 nucleotides in length. Lineage: Eukaryota; Metazoa; Chordata; Mammalia; Rodentia; Sciuridae. The record is from RNAcentral.
GAGGUUGUGGCUUAGUGGUAGAGCGCUCGCCUAGCAUGUAGGAGGCCCUGGGUUUGAUCCUCAGCACCACA